GAACGCGAAGAACCUUACCUGGUCUUGACAUGUACGGAAUCCUCCAGAGACGGAGGAGUGCCUUCGGGAGCCGUAACACAGGUGCUGCAUGGCUGUCGUCAGCUCGUGUCGUGAGAUGUUGGGUUAAGUCCCGCAACGAGCGCAACCCUUGUCAUUAGUUGCCAUCAUUUAGUUGGGCACUCUAAUGAGACUGCCGGUGACAAGCCGGAGGAAGGUGGGGAUGACGUCAAGUCCUCAUGGCCCUUAUGANCAGGGCUUCACACGUCAUACAAUGGUCGGUACAGAGGGUAGCCAAGCCGCGAGGUGGAGCCAAUCUCACAAAACCGAUCGUAGUCCGGAUUGCACUCUGCAACUCGAGUGCAUGAAGUCGGAAUCGCUAGUAAUCGCAGGUCAGCAUACUGCGGUGAAUACGUUCCCGGGUCUUGUACACACC
Molecule: ribosomal RNA, 433 nt
Filed under: uncultured bacterium
Lineage: Bacteria
Description: bacterial SSU rRNA
Rfam family: Bacterial small subunit ribosomal RNA
Source: RNAcentral